This is a non-coding RNA of Pelobates cultripes (western spadefoot toad), 217 nucleotides long. The record is from the annotation of a GenBank genome assembly. Lineage: Eukaryota; Metazoa; Chordata; Amphibia; Anura; Pelobatidae.
UGUAUAUACAAUUUAGUGUGUAUUUUGGGCCAUGAUGUGUGUCAGUCACUGUAUUGUUUAUCAGAAUAUGUUUAUUUGUAUAACUCUGUAUCCUUUUGUGAGUCAUUCAGUGUGUAUGUUACAGUAUGUCUUUGUGUGUCUGCGUAUCCCUUUUGUGUCAGUCAGUAUGUUUCUCACAGAGUGCAUGUCUUUGUGUAUCUAUGUAUGCAUAUGUAUG